GUUGUUGUGGUCUUGUACUCUUGUUCGACUUCUUCAAUCUUCAUAAGGUUAAAGGUAUGUGGAUUGGAUGGGAGAGGAUGAUGUGGCGCUGAGCUAGCAGUCUGGGAUCAUGGAUGAAAGAUGAGUAUAACUAGUGGCCUAAACACCAUUUGUAGCGAUUGCGAGAGACCAAGAUAAAAGAGAUGGUUUCCAAUCAGUUAACCAUGAUGUAUUAAGGUGUGUUACUUUAAUUUAUGAUUAAAGAGUAAUAACUUAUAGAGGCCAGUUAACGUAUAAUACGGCUUAACGUACAUCACGUACGACAGAUAAUUACGCAUGUUCAUUUGAAAAUCACGCACGUUAUAAAUUAAAUAACCCAAAUCACACAUGUUGGAAAACAUUAAUCAAGCAUGAUGAAAACAUUAAUUGUUGGAAAUUUUCAUGAAAAUAAGUUUUCACUAAAUAUUUUGGACAUCAAUAAUUAUAUUUAUAUAUGUGUGGUAUAAAUAAUAAUUAGUGGGUUUGUGUUCUAUGUUGUGAGAGCAUCAUAAUAAUGAAUCAAACUAUGUACAAAAUGGAGCUAAGAUGAAUAGAAUAUCGAUGCUCGAAGUUGGGUGAUUGAAGUGAAUAUUUCUAAACUUUAGUGACUCUAGUAUAAAUUCAUCUUUGUCAUAAAUUGAUGGUUUUAUGACUUUUAAUCUCUAUUCAAGAGUCAUG
RNAcentral lists this long non-coding RNA (696 nucleotides) under Helianthus annuus (common sunflower). Lineage: Eukaryota; Viridiplantae; Streptophyta; Magnoliopsida; Asterales; Asteraceae. The record is from RNAcentral.